GGGGGUAUAGCUCAGUUGGCUAGAGCGCUUGCUUCGCAUGCAAGAGGUCGGGGGUUCAAGUCCCCCUAUCUCCA
Molecule: transfer RNA, 74 nt
Filed under: Bacteroidia bacterium
Lineage: Bacteria; Pseudomonadati; Bacteroidota; Bacteroidia
Description: tRNA-Ala
Rfam family: tRNA
About the family: Transfer RNA (tRNA) molecules are approximately 80 nucleotides in length. Their secondary structure includes four short double-helical elements and three loops (D, anti-codon, and T loops). Further hydrogen bonds mediate the characteristic L-shaped molecular structure. tRNAs have two regions of fundamental functional importance: the anti-codon, which is responsible for specific mRNA codon recognition, and the 3' end, to which the tRNAs corresponding amino acid is attached (by aminoacyl-tRNA synthetases). tRNAs cope with the degeneracy of the genetic code in two manners: having more than one tRNA (with a specific anti-codon) for a particular amino acid; and 'wobble' base-pairing, i.e. permitting non-standard base-pairing at the 3rd anti-codon position.
Source: RNAcentral